Long non-coding RNA from Brassica napus (rape), 6793 nucleotides. RefSeq lists it as uncharacterized. The transcript has 4 exons. The record is from RefSeq and is a predicted model, not a curated record. Lineage: Eukaryota; Viridiplantae; Streptophyta; Magnoliopsida; Brassicales; Brassicaceae.
CUUUUUAGGAAAAAUGCAAGUAACAGAUGCAAAUGCAACUAGAAGAAGUAAUCAAAAGUGGUUAAAAAAAGGUAGAGGUAAUCAAAAGAGUUAUAGAAGUAAUUAGAAGAAGAAAGUCUCUAAUGAUAAGUGAGAUGUGGUGUAGGUUUGCCACUUGGUUCCACACAAAAAAAAAUCUGUCGGGAGGGACAAAGCAUAUCACGUGUUGUCCUUGCUAGUUAUGUUGUGUCAGUUCGGCCCUCAAGUUCUCGCGGGCCGGACAUUUAAUCACCUCCAUAGGUAUAAAAUACAAUAAAAGUAUUUAAAGUUUUAAAAUAUAAGUCAGAUAAAUUUUUGAGAAUUUUUUGGGAUUAUUCGUAAAAUAACCAAAGAAAAAAGAAAAAUUGUUUUUUUAGAAAAAUGAUAGAAAAGAUAAGAAGAGAAAAGAUGAAAAAGGUGUUAUUUUAGUUAGUUAGUGAAUUAUAGUCUUUUUGAGAUUAAUUUGUCUUUGACAAUUAACUGUAUCUUAUCUUUAUAUAUGUUAUAAAAUAUUUACAUAUUUAUUAUAUAAUUAGGUGUUUUGUCCGCAAUGCGACCACAAAAAUGUUACUAAUUUUUAUUAAUAAAUAUAUUAUUAAUUCAAAAUCAGUAAAAUAUGCCUAUAUUUAUAAUUUAAUAUAAAUAUAUUAGGGUGCUUAAUCUGAAGAUAAAUUACAUAUUAUAAAAUAAUAGCAUAUGUAACUUGAUUUAUAGAUUAUAUUAUUAAUAAUUAUGUAUAAUAGCAAAAGAAUAAUAUGAUUGAGUAUAUCAAACGAUGGGAAUUUUAUCUAUCAUUAUUAUAUAAUAAUAUUGAUGGUAAACAUAGUUUUAGUCAAAGAUUAUCCAUUAGCCCUUUUAAAUUAUAUAUUAUAAAAUUUAUAUAAUACAAUAUAAACUAUUUUUAUAUAAUGAUAAUCAUCAAAUUAACAAAAUCCAUUUUUAUUUUGUGGUUAAUUAUAUAUUAAAUAAUAUAAUUAUUCAUUAAGGUUAAUAAUGACUAUAUAAGACAAUAUAAAAUACUUUUAGAUAAUGAUAAUUAUCAAAUCAAUGAAUUUCGUUUUUAACUGAUGGUUAGUUAUAUAUUAAAUCAAGGAAUUUUGUUUUUAAUUUAUGUUAAUUAUAUAUUAAUAGAUUUAACAAUUUAUUAACAGUAUUAACGACUUUAACCGCUCUAAUCCGAAAAAUCACUUCACAAAUAAUAGUGUUGAAAAUUUAGGAAAACAUGUGAAUCAUCUUCUCAUAACCGGGAUGAUUUUUUUAUGCGAGAUGAAUUUGCAUUACUUCGACUGCAAGUAAUAUUAGUUAUAAAAAAAGAAAACGAAGAUUCAAAUUGUUACCUUCUCGAUGACUUGCUUAGAGGCCGGAGCAUUACAAGAUCCAAGGGUGAAAUUUCAACAAGUCUCAUUUGGGUUUCUGAAGCUAGCAAAUUCCACCGCGGCUGUCUUUUUAGUACCGGAACACUUGAGAUCAGCCGUGAGAAAAACAUUUUUUUUUUUUUGAGAAAAGCUGUGAGAAAACAUCAUCAGUGAAUGCUUGGAUUUUGUCAUUUUUCUUGGUCCAGUGUCGGACACUAGGAGGGUAGUUUUCUCCAAUGUAAGAAAACACAGUGUCUCUGUUGAUGAUGACAAAGUCGAUAAGCUUUGGCUUCACAUUUAGCUCUUCCUCAAAUAUAACCAGAAGAUUAUUCUUGGGCUUCAAGAAAGACCUAGGUUUAUGAUACUCUACUUGCGUAGGCUUUUUAAAGGCAAUAAAAACAACAUCCAAUAUCGACCAACACCUUCUUAUUCACCCAAAUCAAACCUUUCCCCAUUCCAUUCAGCCUAAUUGCUACUGAGUUUUUGCUCUCUGGCGCAUCAAAGUGUGUUUGUAUUCACCUCACGCGUUGUUCAUUAGAUAUAUAUGUGCUACCCAAAUUCUCCAAUAUAUGCUGAACUAUGAUCAUAAACCCUUUUAUUUUAUUUUGGAAUGUUUACUAUUUCUACCUAGUACCAUGUAAGUCCUGAUGCUUUUCUUGAGAAUUUCUGCCAUUUAACCUUCUUUAAAUGAAACAUUGGUUUCUACCCCAAUUUUUUUUUUUGAAAAAGAUUAUAUAGAUAUAGACCACCAAAUUUAUAAAAAACAGUUUUUUUUAUUUAAAUCUUUGCUAAAUUGUCUACAGACACCCAAAUCUCAGGGCCGGCCUUGCAUAUGAUUGUCCAAUAUACAUAGGUUUGAUAGCGUAGAUUUAUCAUCUUAGCAUUGGGUUUGAGAGUGUUACAUAGGUAAUUUGUUCUCUUCUCCAUUUCCUUUAGACUGUCAUUAGUCAUUACCGAUGACAAAAUACUGGAAAAUACAUAGGUCAGUCCUCUCUGCGAUGCGGUGUUAAGCUAUAUCUUUCUUCUUUAAAAAAAAAAGAGUGACAAAAAAAUUUUAGACACCAUCAUGUUUCCGAGCCUUUAGUAUAUGGUAACAUACUACUUCGAUUCUGAGGUUGCCUUGAAACUGUGAUUACUUCUGAUUUAGGUAACUCUCAUAACAAAAUAAAAAACUCUUCAAGAAAACACACACCAAGAUGGGGACGUGAGGAUAUACUUGUGGAACCCAAGGCCUUAAUACAUGUGAAUGGGGGCCAAGAUGGGGUUUAUAGAUGAUAAACUAAGAUUUACAAACUCUUGUCCCAUUUAAAAAACCUAAUGUCUGUUUAUAUAUUGCUCUUGUCAAAUUUUAGAACGCUAUUAACCCUUUGACAACAUCUAUCUCGAGUGCUAAACGGAGUGGAUAAUGCUGAUGCACUAUCAUAUACUACAGUAGAAUCAGAGUUAUUGCACAAACAGAAGGCUUUGCCAAUGUUAACUGAGUAAAGAAGUCCGGUCGUUGCUUAAAGAUAUUUCUGAAGCUAUGAAUAAUGGAACAAGUACGUGUGCUUGUGAUUUAUACAUGAACAAGGAACGAAGAGGAACAAUGAAUUUUUUAAUAUUCUUAAAAAAAUUUAACAUUUAUAAAGAAUAAUUUUUCUUUUCUAUUUUUUCUUAUUUUUUUUAUUCCAGACAAAUAUAAAAUAAAUUUGUUCAUCUCUAAAUAUGAUAAGAUUCUUUUCCAAUCCAUUCUCUAUCUUUCUGUGAUGCUUAUGAAAUCAUUAUCCCUCUUUUCAAAAGCUUCCUCUACGUAAUUAAAACAGUUGAUCUGAUGAUGAAGCAGAUGAUCUGGUGUUAUCUAUCGCAUGGAAUCCUACUAUAUAAAAGGAGCUAAAUCCUUGCUUCCUAAGCCUAUCCACAUGUGCACAAAUAUUCAGGACCAACCAAUAUGCCAGGUCAUCACGAAGUGGGCUUGCAAUUAAAAAAAACGAAAUCUUCGCGGCCCAGUCCAUAGCCUCAUCUCGCAGCCUCUCUUGAUACGGAUUUUGUCACAGCCCAUUAAGCCCAACUCCCAGACCAAUCCAGAGACGCUCUUACGGUUCGGGUUAUAUCGCCCCUUUCUCUGAAAUCAUCGUCCCUAAUCCUAAGCGCCGUCUCGAUCUCUUUCUCGAUUCUCUUCCUCUCCCCCAACUCAUCCCCCAUAACGCCUCCGAUGAGAGUUCUGGUACUUCAAUGUGCUCUCAUAAAUCCUCCAUUCAAGAUCUCUACAGACCUUCCACAUCCGCUCUCCGUCUUGAUGAUAUCUAGAUCCCUAUUUAUACCCUUACCUCAGAUCGUAAAAUCCAUACCCGUACCUCAGAUCGUAAAAUACAUACCCUCAUCAUGGCGAAAACGGCGAAAACGACUGCGAUCCGCACCGGCAAAGCUUCUCCUCCUCUCCUCUUCCGACAUGUUUCACCAGGGCCAGACGAUUCCACCUUGAAGUUUAGGCUUCUUCAUUUCUGGGAAGCUCGCAAGAAUGUCAAAGGAGGACCAGGGAUCCUUCUUGGGAUCGAGAUGCUUAUGAUCAAUGCAGAGGUAUGUCUUCAUUUUUCAUUAUAUUAUCGAACAUUAGGUUGAGAUGUUAGCGUAUGUUGGAAAACAAAAAUUUGAUUGAUUAAAAUAAAAACUUGAUUGAUUCAUAAAAAACUUGAUUGAUUAAAAUAAAAACUUGAUUGAUUCGUUUGAAUUAUAUUACCGUCUCUUUCAUUGGUUUUCCUUGGCCUCUUUUCGAGAAAAAAAAUUGAUUGAUUCGUUUGAAUUAUAUUAGCGUAUCUUUGAUUGAUUAGAGAGAUUUGUUUCUGUUGCUUUAAACGCUUAAUAAUUUUAAUCACUCUGAAAAAACACUUGGUUUAGCUUAUCUUUUAUUAUAUAUUAGCUUAUCUUUGAUUGGUUUUUCUCUUUCAUUAUUCACUUGAGAGUGCUUUGAUAGAGAUCGGAUAAAUAUUUGAACCCUUAUAAUUUUAGUUGAACGCUUUCAACUGACUCGAUAUUGUAUCUCUGUUCUGUAGGGUACUUUGGCUCAGGGGUUCAUCGGCCAGAAUUGUCGCAACCAGUAUGAGAAAGAGCUCCAGCGUGGGAGCAUCUACACACUGACAAACUUCUAUGCAUCCAACAGCAAGGUGAUGUACCAUGUUGCUGAUCAGAGGCUGAUAAUUUGCAUCUCACACGCUUCUGCCCUGUCAAAGGAUGAAGAAGACAUUGAAGGCAUUUUGACAGAGCGCUUCAGGGUCCGUUCCUUUUCGGAAUUUGAAGCCAACUGCGAUCUCAGAGGGGAUCUUCACGGUACGGUUUAAAUAUUUUCUUAUCAUGUUUAACCAUUCCAAUCGGUUAACUUUGUAUUGCGUGUAACUGUUUGUUGUAGAUGUUGUUGGCCACCUUAAGCUGGUUGAUGGCCAGGCUCUCCAUCAGCGUCAGGUUUUGUGCACCAAUGAUGACUCAGCUUCUCGGAAAGUGAUGGUCCAUUUGCAGCUUAAAGACGGUCCAGUGAUGAACGUCUAUCUAUGGGACGAGGCCGCUGAAAGUUUCCGCCUCAAGUUUGACGCAAGUGCAGCCACUCCAACUGUUCUAUUGGUCACAACGGUCAAUCCUAAGAGGCUCGGUGGGAAAUUGUGCCUAAGUUCAAUGUCCUCUUCAAGAGUGUUUUUGGAUGAAGAGGUUGACCCCACCAAUGAAUACUUGGCAUGGUUAGUAUUUUAUUUUUUUAGAAACAAUCUAUAGUUUAGACUAUUAUGUGUUUAACACCUUUGAUGAUCGCCUGAUUUAAAAUUCUUUGCAAGGUUGACCACGAACCCUUCUGUAACUUCUUUGGUGAACCCCGUUGAGGUGGUCAAAGCUGAGACUCUCACAAUAGGUGAGAUUGCCGCCUUCCUCAAGCGUCAGCCUGCUCAGGUUGCCUACUUUGACUGCAUUGCCACAAUUGAUGAUGUCAAGCUUGGCACUGAGUGGUAUUACAUUGCUUGCAAGGAUUGCAAGGAUUGCCAGACCAAGUUAAACCGUGGGCCGACAACAUUGCUUUGUCCAAAAUGCGGGAAUGAAAAUGCUACUGCAGUAGCCAAGUAAGUUUCUCCUCUCAAAUAUGUUUUCAAGCGACAAUGUAUAUACUAAUCAUUUGGUUUUUAACCAGCUAUCGGGUGGAGCUGUCUGUCUAUGAUAAUGAUGAGCAGUGCACGUUCAUCAUUCUCGGAGAUGCUGGGAAAGAUCUCACAGGCAGGAAAGCAACAGAGUUGAUCGAUGCUUAUGUUCAUGUAAUUGUUGUUCUGAUGAUAAAUGAUAAUUUCCAUAAUCUUGACACUUAUUUUAAUCAGAGAGUCUACCAAGUUGAUAAAUGUAUUCUGUUAUAUUAGGAAAAUGGUGGAGAUGCGGCUGAGCUUGAAGUUCCACUGCCACAGUGUUUCAUUGAUACAAUAGGCCAGACAAAGAAAUUCAGGAUCAAGGUGGCUCACUACAACUUCACUUCUACCCGACUGUCCUUGACCGCUACCAAGAUAGUCUCACCAGCAGAGUUACCAACAAAGAAUCCCCCACUCAAGACGCCACCAGGAACUGAAGUGGAGAACACAGAGUUGGCUGAGAGUAGUGGUGGUGGUGCUUCAGCUAUUGACGACCAGAAGAAAGCAAAGCGUACCAAGUGUAGUGGCUAGAUCACAUGCAGAAUGGUCACUCUAUUAGUGGCUGGUACAGACUGUCCAGUCAGGAUGAUUCUCUAAUAAUAGUCUACUUAUCUCUCUUUAAUCAUUUUGUUUUUGCUUCUUGCUAAGACAGUUUAGGAUUGGAAACACGUUAUGGUUUGGUUUUCUUAUUUGAGUUAUUUGGUUUUUAUUCAUAGCUUUGUUAUGAAGUUUAAGAAUGAUCAGCAUUAUCAUAUUAAAGUUGUUUGGUUUUCAUUCCUAACUUAUUAAAAUUGUUUGAUCAGCAUGCAUUUUACAUACGUAUACGUACUUAAGAACCUAAUGCAUGCAUGGAUUGGUUUAUGUCCAUGCUGAUAUUAAUUUAAUUAAAGCAACUGUAAUAUUAGCUGCAUACUGAUUCGUAUACGUUGUUGGAGGUUUUUUGAAUUUAUAAAUUCAUUUUUGAAUUAAAAUAUUAUUAGUAUUGAUAUAUUAAUUUAAUACUUUAAUUCAAACUUACUGUUGUUUUUUUAAAAAAAAUUGAUCACCGCUUCCAACAUCUUCCCAUUAUAAAAUAAACAAAACUUAGCUUUCCCUUUCAAAAACUUAAAAACUCCAAAUUUUAAUUGAGCUGACUUUUAUUAAACAUGUAAUCCGCGCGAAGCGCGGACACCGACCCUAGUGUAUUGUAAAGGGCUAAAGGCUAACGCAUAUUUUGGUCUACGUUACUUUUUUUUAUAAAGAAAAAAAAACGAACUGUUUCGAUAAAAAAAACAAAAUGAAACGUGGGGC